Non-coding RNA from Phrynosoma platyrhinos (Desert horned lizard), 74 nucleotides. The record is from the annotation of a GenBank genome assembly. Lineage: Eukaryota; Metazoa; Chordata; Lepidosauria; Squamata; Phrynosomatidae.
GAGCCAACAGGGUGUAGUGGUUUGAACACUGGACUAUAACUCUGGAGAUCAGGAUUCGAAUCCCUGUUUGCUCA